CUGAAGUAGCAAAGUCAUGAGGUUGACUUCUGGCUGGAGAGGCUCUGAUAGACCAGAAGCAGGCAGAGGUUUAGAGGCAGCAGAACCAUGGCUCCCCCUUCACCUUCUGCCAUGAUUGUAAGCUUCCUGAGGUCAUCCAAAAGCUGAGCAGAUGCCAACCAUGCUUCCUGAGGCCAAGGUGGUAGGAUCACUUGAAGUUGGGAGUUCAAGACCAGCCUGACCAACAUGGUGAAACCUCGCCUCCACUGAAAAUACAAAAAUUAGCUGGGCAUGGUGGCAGGCACCUGUAAUCCUAGCUACUCGCUAAGACUGAGGCAGGAGAAUCGCUUGAACCCAGGAGACGGAAGUUGCAGUGAGCCGAGAUCAUGCCACUGCACUCCAGCCUGGGCAACAGGGCGAGACUCCACCUCAAAAAAAAAAAAAAUGUGUAAUUAACUGUUCCCCAUGUCAAUAAAUAUUCUCUUCUAAUAUUCUUUUAAAUGAUUUUCUAGUAUGCCAUCCUAACGAUAUGUCAUCACGAAUUUAUAUAAUUCCUUGUCAUUGAACAAUUAGGUUUUUCAAAGAUUUUUUCUUUGCUUUUGUAAAUAAUGUUGCAAUGAACACAGCUGCAGCUAAAUCUUUGCACACAUAAGUGAUUAUCCCCUUAUCAUAAAUUAUUAGAAGGCCAAUUGUUGGGUCAAUGGGCAUGCACAUCUCUUAAAUCUCUUAUACAUAUUGUUCAAUUACGCUCCA
This 732-nucleotide long non-coding RNA is filed under the name Homo sapiens (human). RNAcentral describes it as "HSALNT0370892". Lineage: Eukaryota; Metazoa; Chordata; Mammalia; Primates; Hominidae. The record is from RNAcentral.